Molecule: non-coding RNA, 46 nt
Filed under: Trichobilharzia regenti
Lineage: Eukaryota; Metazoa; Platyhelminthes; Trematoda; Strigeidida; Schistosomatidae
Source: RNAcentral
AUUCAGAUGACGAGUCCCAAAAUAGGACGACAUGUGCAUGCUGGAU